Molecule: ribosomal RNA, 485 nt
Filed under: uncultured bacterium
Lineage: Bacteria
Description: partial 16S ribosomal RNA
Rfam family: Bacterial small subunit ribosomal RNA
Source: RNAcentral
AUUGAACGCUGGCGGCAUGCCUUACACAUGCAAGUCGAACGGCAGCACGGGUGCUUGCACCUGGUGGCGAGUGGCGAACGGGUGAGUAAUACAUCGGAACAUGUCCUGUAGUGGGGGAUAGCCCGGCGAAAGCCGGAUUAAUACCGCAUACGAUCUACGGAUGAAAGCGGGGGACCUUCGGGCCUCGCGCUAUAGGGUUGGCCGAUGGCUGAUUAGCUAGUUGGUGGGGUAAAGGCCUACCAAGGCGACGAUCAGUAGCUGGUCUGAGAGGACGACCAGCCACACUGGGACUGAGACACGGCCCAGACUCCUACGGGAGGCAGCAGUGGGGAAUUUUGGACAAUGGGCGAAAGCCUGAUCCAGCAAUGCCGCGUGUGUGAAGAAGGCCUUCGGGUUGUAAAGCACUUUUGUCCGGAAAGAAAUCCUUGGCCCUAAGACGGUCGGGGAUGACGGUACCGGAAGAAUAAGCACCGGCUAACUACGUG